GGGGGGGGGGCCGCGGGGCCGCAGACACUGAGGCAAAGCGUUCAGAGAAGUGGCUCCGCGGCUUGUCUCCAGCGGUGAACACGGACGUCACCGGUCAGUUGAGCACUUUCGUCGCCUGCAAAUAACUUUGGCCAGGUGGUGAGUGUAUGGACUGAGGACUAAGAAGAACCUACUUCUGCCCAUGAUUUGGAAAUAAAAAGAUGUCUUGGAUUUGCUUCAAAAUAAUCCAGUGAUGGAAGAGGAGAGAGCAGUGGUGUAGAUAAAACAAAGUUAGGUUUGCGUUGAUAAUUAUUGAAGUCACAUGGUGGAUAUGUGGAGUUUAUCCUAUUCUUUUCUUUUUUUG
Molecule: long non-coding RNA, 343 nt
Organism: Equus quagga
Lineage: Eukaryota; Metazoa; Chordata; Mammalia; Perissodactyla; Equidae
Exons: 3
Source: RefSeq, a predicted model, not a curated record